Non-coding RNA from Paramisgurnus dabryanus, 1162 nucleotides. The record is from RefSeq and is a predicted model, not a curated record. Lineage: Eukaryota; Metazoa; Chordata; Actinopteri; Cypriniformes; Cobitidae.
CCACUCGAACAUCAACAACACAACCAAACAAAGUUUUAUCAGAUUUAAAGACUUGACUGCAUAUGUUUGGAUGAUAAACUUUAUAGACACACGUGAGGAAAAUCUUUAGUUAUGUCUGGGCAAUGAGGAUGAGUAGGAAAGAGUUCAGCUUUACCUCAGAAAAGCAUUGGAACUUCGGCUGCAUCUAGAUUGACUGGAGGAUGAUAUUAUUCCCCACAAGUGCAAAGUACCUACAGAAAUGUUCUUCAACAAGAAAUAUAAUUUUAUCAGUUUAAGGUAACAUGUUUGGCGUUUUGGACUGGUGACGGUUGAGAGCAGCGUUACCCUGGCAACCGGAAACAAGUACUUAUCUGAAGAGGAAAGCAACUUCUCCUUCUGACAAAACUACGCCUGCACAUUUAAGAGAUGACAUUCUCAUUCAUGUUAUAAAGAGGCCAUUAAAAUGUUUUUUUAACAUAUCUUCAUUUAAAUGUUUUGUAAUGUUUUAAACACAUGUUCAGUAAAAUGAAUUAUUCCAUCUCUAAGUCUGUUAUUGAAUGUCUUUAAAAUAGUUAAGUAGGCAAAUAAGGAUAAGUUAAUUAAGUUGUACUGCAGAUGUCCGCCCAAAGAAUAUGAAAUAAGAUAUUAAAUAAGAUUUAAAUUUCAAACUGGUUCCUUACACAAAACUUUUAAUCCAUUACCUUGUCACAACAUGACCACAACAGGCAGAUUACGGAACAAAGUUACUUUGAGGCGACAAAUCCAAUCCAGGAAUUUCGACUCAACUUUUUGAGUUACGUCACCACGACGUAACUAGCGCACUCACCCACCAACCAGGAGCUGACACAAAUUCAACAUUACUAAAACGUGUGUUGUUGUUUGUGAGGGAAAUUUAAUCUUGUUCAGCUUCCCCAACAUCAUGGGAACAAUAGAUUUAGUUUGUUUAUCCGGGGUAGAAGCGGACUUGUGCGAGUGUGUUUGUUUAACAAUGGAUUUCAUUUAAAUAGACACAUAAACCCUGAAUGCUGUGUGUUUAACCAGCAAAAGAGAACACAAGCUUCUUUCCUGUUUUUAACACAUUUUUUUAUGGUGAUAGAUAUGUAAAAAUUAUCAAGCAAUGUUAAGAAAGUGAAGAAUGAUGUAACCAUAGUAAGCAUAGUUAGUUAGUUUUUUGUUUUAUAGU